CUAGAGCAUCACGUACAUAAGCUAGACAACAUAGUUAAACAAAAGAUGCUCUCUGAACAUUGUACUGAAACUAAACCUGCUCCCUAAGCAUAUCAUGGUUUAACAAAAGCUGCUCCCUAUACAUCAUAGUCCAACAGUAGCUUCUCCCUAAACAUCAUAGUUUAACAAAAGCUGCAGGUCCCUAUACAAAAGCUGCUCCCUAUACAAUAGCUGCUCCUUAAACCCUAACCUACAGCCAAGUACUGAAGAACAAGCUCAUAUAGUUGUUGAUCACACUCAAGCCUAUCCGGAAGGAUACCUAGAGCUUGCAGCCUCUCUUUGUUCAUAUGAGGUAUCUUAUAUCUAUUUCCUCCACCUGCUUUCAUCACUUCAAUCAAGCAGCUCUGCAGAGUCAGGUUCCUAGAGACCCUGUUGAAUGUAAGGGACUGCAGAGAAGCGAAGAAGCCUAAAUCAAGACAGUUCAUAUCAGGGAUUUCGUCAUUGUCAUCUGAGUCUGUUAAUUCUUCUUCAUCGAACACAAUGUCAACAUUGCCAUACACCCCAUAAUCAUUCAGAUUCUCUUGUUCUUCAUCAAGAUGAAUGUUUAGAUCAAAGGGGUAGAACAGAUGCUGGGGAGGAUCAGCAGGGAGGACUUCAUUGAGGUCAGUGUGUUUCAACGGCUGGAGAUGGGGGACUGAGACUGGUUUAUAUAGGCAAGAGGUGGACGCAGAGCGGAGCAGCUGCAAGUUAAAUUUUUUGGCGGGCGUCAAAUUCUCUUUGCCGCUUGUCAAAUUCUAGUUGCGGCUUGUAAUUUUCUGUAUGACGUUGUCCUUUUGUUUGAGUAGUUGGCGCCUGUCUAAAUGUCCAA
Panicum hallii is the source of this 847-nucleotide long non-coding RNA. RefSeq lists it as uncharacterized. NCBI's taxonomy places the organism in Eukaryota, Viridiplantae, Streptophyta, Magnoliopsida, Poales, Poaceae. The record is from RefSeq and is a predicted model, not a curated record. The transcript is spliced from 5 exons.